GAUGAACGCUGGCGGCGUGCUUAACACAUGCAAGUCGAACGAUGAAGCCCAGCUUGCUGGGUGGUUUAGUGGCGAACGGGUGAGUAACACGUGAGUAACCUGCCCUUGACUCUGGGAUAAGCCUGGUAAACUGGGUCUAAUACUUGAUAUGACUUCUCAUCGCAUGGUGGGGGGUGGAAAGAUUGAUUGGUAUUGGAUGGACUCGCGGCCUAUCAGCUUGUUGGUGAGGUAAUGGCUCACGAAGGCGACGACGGGUAGCCGGCCUGAGAGGGUGGCCGGCGACACUGGGACUAAGAGACGGAGCAGAAGGCUACGGGAGGCAGCAGUGGGGAAUAUUACGCAAUGGGCGCAAGCCUGAUGCAGCGACGCCGCGUGAGGGAUGACGGCUUUCGGGGUGUAAACCUCUUUCAGUAGGGAAGAAGCGGGAGUGACGGUACCUGCAGAAGAAGCGCCGGCUAACUACGUG
RNAcentral lists this ribosomal RNA (466 nucleotides) under uncultured bacterium. RNAcentral describes it as "partial 16S ribosomal RNA". It matches the Rfam family "Bacterial small subunit ribosomal RNA", at positions 28 to 507 of the family's 1533-position model. The record is from RNAcentral.